RNAcentral lists this ribosomal RNA (362 nucleotides) under Klebsiella pneumoniae. RNAcentral describes it as "bacterial SSU rRNA". It matches the Rfam family "Bacterial small subunit ribosomal RNA", at positions 1 to 357 of the family's 1533-position model. The record is from RNAcentral. Lineage: Bacteria; Pseudomonadati; Pseudomonadota; Gammaproteobacteria; Enterobacterales; Enterobacteriaceae.
ACUUAAAUUGAAGAGUUUGAUCAUGGCUCAGAUUGAACGCUGGCGGCAGGCCUAACACAUGCAAGUCGAGCGGUAGCACAGAGAGCUUGCUCUCGGGUGACGAGCGGCGGACGGGUGAGUAAUGUCUGGGAAACUGCCUGAUGGAGGGGGAUAACUACUGGAAACGGUAGCUAAUACCGCAUAACGUCGCAAGACCAAAGUGGGGGACCUUCGGGCCUCAUGCCAUCAGAUGUGCCCAGAUGGGAUUAGCUAGUAGGUGGGGUAACGGCUCACCUAGGCGACGAUCCCUAGCUGGUCUGAGAGGAUGACCAGCCACACUGGAACUGAGACACGGUCCAGACUCCUACGGGAGGCAGCAGUGG